Molecule: long non-coding RNA, 1007 nt
Filed under: Falco tinnunculus (common kestrel)
Lineage: Eukaryota; Metazoa; Chordata; Aves; Falconiformes; Falconidae
Description: lncRNA (ENSFTIG00000012173.1)
Source: RNAcentral
AGCCCAUAAUUCUCCCAAAAGAGGAACAGCUUAUUAUUAAUUUGUGUCUUAUUUCCUCACAGGAAGUCUUUUAGGAUUUUACCAUGGAAGGAGCCAUAUGAGCAGUGGUAUAAAGUGACAGGAGCUGUUAGAUAGAAUAACGCUGGCUGUAUGUAGCAGCUUUACUGCAGUGUCUUGGAUACCAGGCUCUGGAGGCCAAAACUGCAGAAUUUUUCUCACCUCUCGGGGGAUGACGAGCUGGUAGCUACAUAGGGAUACCCUUCAAUCCAUCAGCUGGCCCACUGUGGCAGCAGUAUCCAUGGCUCAGUUUUUCACGCUCUUGGGAUAUGAUCUUCUACAGACCCGUUACUUCUGGCUCUGGAGAUGAUUUGGAAGUAGAGACACUGCUGACUCAAAGCUGACUUCUGUGGAAAGCCAUGCGGUGACUCCAGGAAUACGGCUGCCCGUACCACAUCCUCUCUCUGGGGUGGUUCUGCCAGCUGGCUCGUGGAGUGGUGCCAAGCUCGUGAUGCUGACCACAACCUGCAACGCAAUUGGCCCUUUCAGCCAGCGUGAAGUUCCCUGCAGAUCUGGAUGGAAGUGUCCUUCCAUGAGGAUGCUCACGCUAGUUAAGUAGUGCGUUCAUUAAGUUCAGCUGGUUGAGGGGAAAAGGGAAAAAAAAAAAAGCAGAUGGUAGCAGUUCACAUGUGAAGGGUACUCUUUGAUAUAUAUUUUCUACUGUAAAAUUUCUAUUUAAUCUAUUUACAACAUUAAGCUACCUAUACGGGACUGCGUUCUGUGAUAAAAGGGGGUUUCUGCUGAGCUCCCAAAAUAUGACUGACAUCUUGUUUGCUUUGGGCAAACAACAGUUCCUUUGACAAAGGGAUUCAUGUUAUGAUUGUCAGAAUAAAGCUCUCUGAAGUGAUUCUGACUCUCAGAUGUUAAUUACUUAGGUGGAGGGAAUUGAAACAGAACAUCUAAAACUGAUAUUAUUAUUAUUACAUAUACAAACAUGUGUUGCACAGGAA